Molecule: ribosomal RNA, 392 nt
Filed under: uncultured bacterium
Lineage: Bacteria
Description: partial 16S ribosomal RNA
Rfam family: Bacterial small subunit ribosomal RNA
Source: RNAcentral
AUACGGAGGAUCCGAGCGUUAUCCGGAUUUAUUGGGUUUAAAGGGUGCGCAGGCGGCCAUUUAAGUCAGCGGUUAAAUCGUGGGGCUCAACCCCAUUCUGCCGUUGAUACUGGGUGGCUUGAUUGCGGUCGAGGUUGGCGGAAUUCGUUGUGUAGCGGUGAAAUGCAUAGAUAUGACGAAGAACACCGAUUGCGUAGGCAGCUGACCAGAUCGCAAAUGACGCUCAUGCACGAAAGUGCGGGGAUCGAACAGGAUUAGAUACCCUGGUAGUCCGCACAGUAAACGAUGAAUACUUGUUUUCGGCGAUAUAAUGUCGGAGGUAAAGCGAAAGCGAUAAGUAUUCCACCUGGGGAGUACGCCGGCAACGGUGAAACUCAAAUGAAUUGGCGGGG